GUCAACUACCCCGGCCUGAAGGCCGGAGCUUGUAAAAGGCUCCAUGGUUGACCAGGGAAAUGUUCAAAGUUUAAUGGCAAAUACAAAAAAGGAGAACAUUAAAAGUUGCAUAGAGAGCUAAAGACCAACGGCGGGAUGCUUCCUCAGUCCCGCCCUCUUGAAGCCUGGGUUGCAGACAACCUUCAGGGGUGUGGACGAAACGGGUCCGGGCAUACAGCCGCUGUGCAACAAUCCCGAGGGGAGAGUUCA
Molecule: non-coding RNA, 249 nt
Organism: Desulfotignum phosphitoxidans DSM 13687
Lineage: Bacteria; Pseudomonadati; Thermodesulfobacteriota; Desulfobacteria; Desulfobacterales; Desulfobacteraceae
Rfam family: HNH endonuclease-associated RNA and ORF (HEARO) RNA
Source: Rfam